AGCAGCCGCGGUAAUUCCAGCUCCAAUAGCGUAUAUUAAAGUUGUUGCAGUUAAAAGCUCGUAGUUGAAUUUCGGGAUCAAAGGAUCGGUCAUGCCUUGGUAUGUACUGGUUUUAUUGGUUCUCACCUUCUAAAGAACCAUAAUGUCAUUCAUUUGAUGUUAUGGGGAAUUAGGACUGUUACCUUGAAAAAUUAGAGUGUUUAAAGCAGGCUUACGCUUGAAUACAUUAGCAUGGAAUAAUGAAAUAGGACAUCAGAUUCUAUUUUGUUGGUUUCUAGGAUCGAUGUAAUGAUUAAUAGGGAUAGUUGGGGGCAUUAGUAUUCAAUUGUCAGAGGUGAAAUUCUUGGAUUUAUUGAAGACUAACUACUGCGAAAGCAUUUGCCAAGGAUGUUUUCAUUAAUCAAGAACGAAAGUUAGGGAUCGAAGACGAUCAGAUACCGUCGUAGUCUUAACCAUAAACUAUGCCGACUAGGGAUCGGAUGAUGUUAAUUUUAUAAUGACUCAUUCGG
This 509-nucleotide unclassified non-coding RNA is filed under the name uncultured Glomus. RNAcentral describes it as "SSU rRNA". It matches the Rfam family "Eukaryotic small subunit ribosomal RNA", at positions 569 to 1083 of the family's 1831-position model. The record is from RNAcentral. Lineage: Eukaryota; Fungi; Glomeromycota; Glomeromycetes; Glomerales; Glomeraceae.